AAUCAACGCUGGCGGCGUGCCUCAGACAUGCAAGUCGAACGCGAAAGGGGGCUUCGGCCUCCGAGUAGAGUGGCGCACGGGUGAGUAACACGUGGGUAAUCUACCUCCGGGUGGGGAAUAUCAGCUGGAAACGGCUGUUAAUACCGCAUAAAUGCAGCGGCAUCUAUGAUGACAGUUGUUAAAGCGGGGGACCGUAGCAAUACGGCCUUGCGCCUGG
This 217-nucleotide ribosomal RNA is filed under the name uncultured bacterium. RNAcentral describes it as "partial 16S ribosomal RNA". It matches the Rfam family "Bacterial small subunit ribosomal RNA", at positions 32 to 240 of the family's 1533-position model. The record is from RNAcentral.